This 101-nucleotide non-coding RNA is filed under the name Peptoclostridium acidaminophilum. RNAcentral's name for it is "Guanine sequence". It matches the Rfam family "Purine riboswitch aptamer". From Rfam's summary of the family: Riboswitches are metabolite binding domains within certain messenger RNAs that serve as precision sensors for their corresponding targets. RNAcentral also lists the same sequence under 1 other name. Lineage: Bacteria; Bacillati; Bacillota; Clostridia; Peptostreptococcales; Peptoclostridiaceae. The record is from RNAcentral.
AUACAGCAAAUUAUAUUUGCUCAUAUAUUCCCGGUAAUAUGGUCCGGGAGUCUCUACAGGAAAUCCGUAAAAUUCCUACUAUGAGCGGAACUUCUAUAUGC